RNAcentral lists this ribosomal RNA (236 nucleotides) under uncultured bacterium. RNAcentral describes it as "partial 16S ribosomal RNA". It matches the Rfam family "Bacterial small subunit ribosomal RNA", at positions 100 to 334 of the family's 1533-position model. The record is from RNAcentral.
CGGGACGGGUGAGUAAUGUCUGGGAAACUGCCCGAUGGAGGGGGAUAACUACUGGAAACGGUAGCUAAUACCGCAUAAUGUCUGCGGACCAAAAGCGGGGGGACCUCCGGGCCUCGCGCCAUCAGAUGAACCCAUAUGGGAUUAGCUAGUAGGUGAGGUAACGGCUUACCUAGACGACGAUCCCUAGCUGGUCUGAGAGGAUGAUCAGCCACACUGGGACUGAGACACGGCCCCAG